GAGAAGGAUUGUGAAUGGUUAACAACUUCACUGUAAAUGAAGCAACCGAAAGGUUAUAGGGAGUUCGAUUCUCUCUCUUCUCA
RNAcentral lists this transfer RNA (83 nucleotides) under Podila verticillata. RNAcentral's name for it is "Mortierella verticillata tRNA-Tyr". It matches the Rfam family "tRNA". From Rfam's summary of the family: Transfer RNA (tRNA) molecules are approximately 80 nucleotides in length. Their secondary structure includes four short double-helical elements and three loops (D, anti-codon, and T loops). RNAcentral also lists the same sequence under 1 other name. Lineage: Eukaryota; Fungi; Mortierellomycota; Mortierellomycetes; Mortierellales; Mortierellaceae. The record is from RNAcentral.